Molecule: ribosomal RNA, 468 nt
Filed under: uncultured bacterium
Lineage: Bacteria
Description: partial 16S ribosomal RNA
Rfam family: Bacterial small subunit ribosomal RNA
Source: RNAcentral
GACGAACGCUGGCGGCGUGCUUAACACAUGCAAGUCGAACGGUGAAGCUCCAGCUUGCUGGAGUGGAUCAGUGGCGAACGGGUGAGUAACACGUGAGCAACCUGCCCCUGACUCUGGAAUAAGCGCUGGAAACGGCGUCUAAUACUGGAUACGAGAAGGGUCCGCAUGGGCACUUUCUGGAAAGUUUUUCGGUUGGGGAUGGGCUCGCGGCCUAUCAGCUUGUUGGUGAGGUAAUGGCUCACCAAGGCGACGACGGGUAGCCGGCCUGAGAGGGCGACCGGCCACACUGGGACUGAGACACGGCCCAGACUCCUACGGGAGGCAGCAGUGGGGAAUACUGCACAAUGGGCGAAAGCCUGAUGCAGCGACGCCGCGUGAGGGAUGACGGCCUUCGGGUUGUAAACCUCUUUCAGCAGGGAAGAAGCGAAAGUGACGGUACCUGCAGAAGAAGCACCGGCUAACUACGUG